RNAcentral lists this unclassified non-coding RNA (193 nucleotides) under fungal sp. RNAcentral's name for it is "partial internal transcribed spacer region". The stretch from base 1 to 46 matches the Rfam family "Eukaryotic small subunit ribosomal RNA", at positions 1786 to 1831 of the family's 1831-position model. Lineage: Eukaryota; Fungi. The record is from RNAcentral.
AAGUCGUAACAAGGUUUCCGUAGGUGAACCUGCGGAAGGAUCAUUAAUGAUUGACCUCACGGUCUUAUCUUAUAAUCCCUCACCUCUGUGAACCGUUUUGGACCUCUGGGUCCGAUCCAUACAAACAUCAGUGUAAUGAACGUCUUGUUAUCUUAACAAAACAAAACUUUCAACAACGGAUCUCUUGGCUCUC